This 496-nucleotide ribosomal RNA is filed under the name uncultured bacterium. RNAcentral's name for it is "partial 16S ribosomal RNA". It matches the Rfam family "Bacterial small subunit ribosomal RNA", at positions 29 to 507 of the family's 1533-position model. The record is from RNAcentral.
ACGAACGCUGGCGGCGUGCCUAAUACCUGCAAGGAGAACGCUGAAGAGAGGAGCUUACUCUUCUUGGAUGAGUUGCGAACGGGUGAGUAACGCGUAGGUAACCUGCCUUGUAGCGGGGGAUAACUAUUGGAAACGAUAGCUAAUACCGCAUAACAAUGGAUGACUCAUGUCAUUUAUUGGAAAGGGGCAAUUGCUCCACUCUAAGAUGGAACUGCGUUGUAUUAGCUAGUAGGUGAGGUAAUGGAGCACCUAGGCGAGGGUACUUAGCCGACCUGCAAGGGGGAGCGGCCAAACUGGGACUGAGACACGGCCCAGCAUCCUGCGGGAGGCAGCAGUAGGGAAUCUUCGGCAAUGGGAGCAACCCUGACCGUGCAACGCCGCGUGAGUGAAGAAGGGUGUCGGAUCGUAAAGCUCUGUUGUAAGUCAAGAACGGGUGUGAGAGUGGAAAGUUCACACUGUGACGGUAGCUUACCAGAAAGGGACGGCUAACUACGUG